Molecule: ribosomal RNA, 130 nt
Filed under: Tomentella sp.
Lineage: Eukaryota; Fungi; Basidiomycota; Agaricomycetes; Thelephorales; Thelephoraceae
Description: partial large subunit ribosomal RNA
Source: RNAcentral
CGGGAAGAGCUCAAAUUUAAAAUCUGGCGUGCCUCUGGUCGUCCGAAUUGUAGUCUGAAGAAGCGUCUUCUGUGUUGGACCGUGUACAAGUCUCUUGAAACAAGGUAUCAUAGAGGGUGAGAAUCCCGUC